CCUACGGGUGGCAGCAGUGAGGAAUAUUGGUCAAUGGGCGCGAGCCUGAACCAGCCAAGUCGCGUGAGGGAGGACGGCCCUACGGGUUGUAAACCUCUUUUGCCGGGGAGCAACGGGCGUCACGUGUGGCGCCACUGAGAGUACCCGGAGAAAAAGCAUCGGCUAACUCCGUGCCAGCAGCCGCGGUAAUACGUAGGUGGCAAGCGUUGUCCGGAUUUACUGGGUGUAAAGGGCGUGCAGCCGGAGAGACAAGUCAGAUGUGAAAUCCACGGGCUCAACCCGUGAACUGCAUUUGAAACUGUUUCCCUUGAGUGUCGGAGAGGUAAUCGGAAUUCCUUGUGUAGCGGUGAAAUGCGUAGAUAUAAGGAAGAACACCAGUGGCGAAGGCGGAUUACUGGACGAUAACUGACGGUGAGGCGCGAAAGCGUGGGGAGCAAACAGGAUUAGAUACCCCGGUAGUC
This 461-nucleotide ribosomal RNA is filed under the name uncultured bacterium. RNAcentral describes it as "partial 16S ribosomal RNA". It matches the Rfam family "Bacterial small subunit ribosomal RNA", at positions 338 to 795 of the family's 1533-position model. The record is from RNAcentral.